RNAcentral lists this ribosomal RNA (301 nucleotides) under uncultured bacterium. Its description in RNAcentral is "partial 16S ribosomal RNA". It matches the Rfam family "Bacterial small subunit ribosomal RNA", at positions 509 to 807 of the family's 1533-position model. The record is from RNAcentral.
CAGUAGCCGCGGUAAUACGUAGGGCGCAAGCGUUGUCCGGAAUUAUUGGGCGUAAAGAGCUCGUAGGCGGUCUGUCGCGUCUGGUGUGAAAUCCCGAGGCUCAACCUCGGGCUUGCAUCGGGUACGGGCAGACUAGAGUGCGGUAGGGGAGACUGGAAUUCCUGGUGUAGCGGUGGAAUGCGCAGAUAUCAGGAGGAACACCGAUGGCGAAGGCAGGUCUCUGGGCCGCAACUGACGCUGAGGAGCGAAAGCAUGGGGAGCGAACAGGAUUAGAGACCCCCGUAGUCCCUGUCUCUUAUAC